AUUUGAGAUAAAUGCACGUCGCUCUGGAUAAGAGCAUCUGCUAAAUGACUAAAA
This is a non-coding RNA of Salmo salar (Atlantic salmon), 54 nucleotides long. Lineage: Eukaryota; Metazoa; Chordata; Actinopteri; Salmoniformes; Salmonidae. The record is from Rfam.